CGCGUAGGCGGCGGACCUUGUCGAGUGUGAAAGCCCCGGGCUCAACCUGGGAGGUGCGCUCGAGACGGGUUUGCUGGAGUUCGGGAGAGGAGAGUGGAAUUCCCAGUGUAGAGGUGAAAUUCGUAGAUAUUGGGAAGAACACCGGUGGCGAAGGCGGCUCUCUGGACCGAGACUGACGCUGAGGCGCGAAAGCGUGGGGAGCAAACAGGAUUAGAUACCCUGGUAGUCCACGCUGUAAACGAUGUGUGCUAGACGUUGGGGAGCGUAGCUCUUCGGUGUCGCCGCAAACGCUUUAAGCACACCGCCUGGGGAGUACGGCCGCAAAGGUUAAA
Molecule: ribosomal RNA, 332 nt
Filed under: uncultured bacterium
Lineage: Bacteria
Description: bacterial SSU rRNA
Rfam family: Bacterial small subunit ribosomal RNA
Source: RNAcentral